Molecule: transfer RNA, 72 nt
Filed under: Poterioochromonas malhamensis
Lineage: Eukaryota; Synurophyceae; Ochromonadales; Ochromonadaceae
Also listed under: 1 other name
Description: tRNA-Gln
Rfam family: tRNA
About the family: Transfer RNA (tRNA) molecules are approximately 80 nucleotides in length. Their secondary structure includes four short double-helical elements and three loops (D, anti-codon, and T loops). Further hydrogen bonds mediate the characteristic L-shaped molecular structure. tRNAs have two regions of fundamental functional importance: the anti-codon, which is responsible for specific mRNA codon recognition, and the 3' end, to which the tRNAs corresponding amino acid is attached (by aminoacyl-tRNA synthetases). tRNAs cope with the degeneracy of the genetic code in two manners: having more than one tRNA (with a specific anti-codon) for a particular amino acid; and 'wobble' base-pairing, i.e. permitting non-standard base-pairing at the 3rd anti-codon position.
Source: RNAcentral
UGGGAUGUAGCCAAGUGGAAAGGCAAUGGACUUUGACUCCGUCAUGCGUAGGUUCGAACCCUACCAUCUCAG